UGACUCUUGUGUACACCUCCCUCCAGACACACCAGUGAACAGCAGUCAUGAAACUGAACGCAGUCGCCCAGUGCCUCGUACCUGGAUUCUAGUGAAAUGAAGGAUGGAGACACUAAGGAUGGAAGGCUUUUUGAACUGCACACCAGCAGGGAUGCAGCUGAC
This is a long non-coding RNA of Eubalaena glacialis (North Atlantic right whale), 162 nucleotides long. RefSeq lists it as uncharacterized. The record is from RefSeq and is a predicted model, not a curated record. The transcript has 3 exons. NCBI's taxonomy places the organism in Eukaryota, Metazoa, Chordata, Mammalia, Artiodactyla, Balaenidae.